Juglans regia (Persian walnut) is the source of this 456-nucleotide long non-coding RNA. RefSeq lists it as uncharacterized. NCBI's taxonomy places the organism in Eukaryota, Viridiplantae, Streptophyta, Magnoliopsida, Fagales, Juglandaceae. The transcript has 3 exons. The record is from RefSeq and is a predicted model, not a curated record.
CAUUACCCGUCCUCUGCUUUCUUCCUCUUCCUCCGAAAUCUCCAAGUCCCUUUCACUCUGUCUCCCUUUCUUCCCGAUUUCCAGAUUUCAUUUCUUCCUCUCCGUUUCUUCCCUCCGUUUCCUCUCACCUCUUUUUUUUUGCCAAGCUAUCCAUUCCCUUUGUCGUGAGAGUCACCAGUUCAUCUUCAUCCAUUUGAAAUUAAACUUCCACUAAAGUUCAAGUUCCUACGAGUACGGGGUGUUUCAGGUGAAAGAGGAACUCCAUCACCUCCAGGCAAGCCUUGUUUUGACUUCACCACGGACUCUCCCUCUCUGUACUGAUCUGCAUUGCGAUGAAGUUUUAUGAGGGAUCAGUGGGUGAUCGAAUGGCCCGGCUCAAAGGUGGGCAAUCUUCAAUUGUCUAAUGUUUUAAGAUUUUGAUGCAGAUGAGGAGGAGGAGGGUGAGCCUGAGGAGAC